Anas platyrhynchos (mallard) is the source of this 7134-nucleotide non-coding RNA. The record is from RefSeq and is a predicted model, not a curated record. Lineage: Eukaryota; Metazoa; Chordata; Aves; Anseriformes; Anatidae.
GGGUGUGACAGUGGAUGGGAAGUGGGAAAAGUGCCCUGUGUGGCUUUUGCUUCUUCGUCUCUGGCUUCUUCCAGUGAGAAGGGGGCACGGGGGGCACUGGGUUUUUGUUGCGGGUAGCUCUGCUGGGGCAGAUGUUCCUGCAGGAUGGGGAUGCUGCGGGCUUGGUCUUCGGGGCCUUGUGGGAAUUGGAGGUGACAAAACAUCGCUGUUCCUUUCCCGAGUGAUGGGAACAGCGAGGUGAGGGCUCUCCAAGCCCUCCACCUGCAGAAAUUAGGGGCACAGCGCUGCGGGGAGGGGGAUCCUGGAUCAGCGGAUGAUCCUGGAGAGCAGGCACAAAUGUUUUCCAAAUCCUGAGGCAGGCGUCAGAUCAGCGCACCCCAAAGCCUGCUGCUGGGCUUCAGCUCCUGCUCCUGUUGGAGGUGCGAUGUAAGCAGAACGAAUGCCCCAGUGAGCCCACUGAGCGUCUCGGGAGCAAAUCACAUUUGUGAAGCUGCAUCUAACUGGGCUGAUGCGCGGGGCGCUGCUCGAGGCAGGACUGCCAGAGCUAGAAUGGAAGUGCCGAUAACUGCUGGAUGAACCGCCAGCCAGCCACGCAGAGGGAAAUGAUUGCAAGAGACUUCAGUAUGUGCUUACCUGCUUGGCUGAAUAUGGCGAGAUUACUCCGUGCUGAAGAUCUCUACGUACAGUUUUUGUCAUUUUACUCUCCCUAGCUGAGUUUACAACGACGCGAGGGAAGAUGUGGUGGCUGCCUGCGAGGAGAGAGAAGCGCUCGCAAAUGGGAGCGGAGGAGCUGAGACUCAGCAUGGUUGGAGGAGAUGCAGAAAAAGGCCUAACUCCUCGCAGGGCAAGGAAUGCAUUUUGCCAGUGUUUGGUGGCAUCCUUCACCAUAACGUCUCCCAGGCAGUACGAGUUGUUAUGUCCCGGUGGUGCCAGGGUCCUGGGCGUGAGGAUGUAAUUGUGGUGGUCAGAUUCUCCCUCUUCUCUUUUGGUUUCAUUAUCGGUCAAGCUGCAAAAUCAUUAUUUUUUUUCCCCCUUUCCAUUAUAUUCCUCCCCCCAGCUCUCACCACUUUCUUACCACCUAAGUACUUCUUUCUCAAACACUCCCCUCCUUCUGCCUAUGCUGCCAUCUCUGCAGAGCAUCCCGAUUCCUUCCAAGAGAAAGGAGCUACACCUGCAGCCUCCCUCCUCCCCCAGCUCCCCUUCACUUCUCUCUCCCUGCAAACAGCUCUGUCCUCUGCCAACCCUUCUCUUCAGGCUCCCCGUGCCACCCCAAGUGCCCUCCUUCCCUUCCCAACCUUCUCCAGGAGUUGCUGGUCACCACCCCAAGCCCUGGGACGGCAGCCAAGGCUCGGUGUCUCACCAAACCCGCUGCUUUCUGCCACGUGCUGAUGUUCCUCCUCUCCUGCCCUGCUCGAGAGCACCUCCAGCCCAGCAGGACCUGCUGAGGACUGCCUGCUCUCCACCUCAUUAUCCUCGAGCAGGUCUGGCGUGAAAUGUGACGGACGUGCUCCUGCCUCAGUGCUCCCCCUGCACAGACAGAAGAAAAUCCGAGCAGUGUCAGGUGCGUGACCUGCAGCCUGGAGAUGACUCGAUCUCAUUUCAUCCUGCACUGGUGCACCUGUACAACAAGCAGCCCGUUAUCACACCCUUUACUCAACUAUUUGGUCUUCCUAGCCUUCGGGACGUCAUGUUACUUAUUCUUUCACCUAAUGUAUUUGGAGCAACUUGCUAGCGACGUGCAGCCCUAUUUAUCCUUCUAGGGACAACAAUAGCAGGAAUAAAUGUUAAACUAAAGGAAGGAAUUAAAAAAAAAAAAAUUAAAAAAAUAGCAGCUCUAUUUGUGCUAUGCCGAGAUGCGUUUCUUGGCAGCCCUAGAGAUUCAACAGUCUGGUAUUUAUCACGAUGAAGCGCAGAGAUGUCUGAUGGCUGCAGGAAGGGAAAUAAAGAGGCUGAGGGAUCAGGGUAGGUGUUCGUGGCAGGCAGCUGCAGGAGCAGCGGUACGUCGAGGCGGCUGCCAGGGGCACGGAUCAGCAGCGCUGAUGGGCAGCUGUUGGAGGUCAAGCCCCGCGGUGGGGACAUAGCCGCUGGGAUUUCUGCCUCCCAAGGAGACCAAAGGGCUGCAGCUGCCAGUGGAAAAUCUCCCGGAGAGCUGGACCUCAGGGUCAUCAUGAGGAGCAGCCACUGCGAUGCUGUGAGCCCACAAAGAAGCGUCAGCUUUGUGCAGGAGUGUGCGUGGGCAGGAGGAGUUUGCACGUGAAGCUGCCCUGACACUCACUGUGACACUCGCUGCCGGGGUCACGGCUGUGGACAACGUCCUCAGAGGUCCAGGCUGAGGAGAUGACGCUCACCGCUUCAUUGCUCUGUGCGGAGGGAGGGAGAUACCCAGUCCUCAAGCAGCUGCAUCCCAGUGAUGGAAGCCCCUCGUCUCCCAGUGCUCCCAGUUCUUUAUGGGAGCACAAAGCUGAAGAAACGCACGAUCCUUCUGUUUUGGCUUCAGUUUGUCCUUUUACACUAUUCAAGGGAUUAGUGAACUGCAGCCUGGAGCUGGCAUUUCCUAAAGAUAGCUCCAUAAAACGUGGACAUGCUGCUUGUCGUAUGCAUCUUGUAGGCUCGCGUAGGUGGCAGCACGAGUCUUUGCCUGGCAAAUUCCUCUGACAACUCCUUUCCCUGUCCUCUCUGGCCCGGGGAAAGCCACCAGCCUGUAGGACCAACACUCGCCUCUCGUGCAGCUGAGAUCACCGAGUUACCCUGGCACCAGGCCCUGUCACUCCACAGUGCCAAGGGCACCAGAAGCAAUUAAAGAAAAAUGAGAAUUGAUUUGAGGAAUGUAAUAAUCAUUCAACUAGCUGGGGAAAGGAAAAAAAAAAAAAAAGAUUGUAUCAUUGAUAUACCAGGAAGAAUAACAUUUACUCUCUGAUAAGCAUUAUGGAACCUGCAGAAGCAAGCCUGAGACCUCAAGGACUUGCACCAUAAAUGAUUUAAUUCUGAAGAACAAGAAAACAAUAUGUUGAAAAUCAAUCCGAGAGGCUAAGAAAGUGAGAAGUGGGCAGGGGAAGGGUUUCUGUCUCCAGUCUCGGCCCAAGCUGAGAGCCAGGUAUGCCUCUGGCCCCCACGCCUGCCUUUUCAUAGCAGUUUUCCUUCCCAGCACAUCAUUCUCUGCUCAUUUUUGUAGCCAGUUCCAUGGCUACUCUUGGAAGCAGAGGGAUGCAGCUGGAGCCUGCCCAUGCCACUGGCUCCAGGGGCUCGUGUCCUGGUGAAGUGGAGCACCUCAUUUCCAGGUGGGUUUUCCCUACCCGUUGGCAUCUGGGCUGUCGGAGCUCGUAGCUUCUGGCUUCUCCUUGACACAGGAGCUGCUCGGCGCUGCUUCAUUAGGCAAGUUAUUUUUAAAUUCCCAGAAAGAGCAAAACAUUGGGAGAGGAAUUACCAUUCGCCUUUGAAACAGCUGCAGAAAGGCUGAGGCACUGAGCCCUCUGUGCGUCCCCCCUGCUACUCGUGCGAUUAACCAGAUGGCAGAGCUGAGUCACCCACUCGCAGGCCACAUCAGAAAUUGCACCUGAAUUGAGUGAGGAACCUCCAAAAGCGUGGUUUUGAUGUGGAUAAGAGGGGGACCAUCAACACCGAAUAGGAAAAUGUCUGUGAAAGAUUUCUUUCCCCCCCCCCUUUAGCCCCACCUCGUGUUUCCGCUUCUCUCUCUCAUUUUUCCCUUAAGGCCUUUGACAAUGAGCACUUAAGAAAACCUCCGCCCUCAUUUAUCAACAUAAACGAAUGAAAAGAGAAAAUAAAACCUGCCCACAGUCCUCACCCCCCUGAACAACAGCAGAACCCAGCAGGCACCCAGUGUUUUCCAAACGCCAAGGGCCAGCAGUAAGCUGAUGUUCUUUGGGGGUGCCCCUGCACCACAACACGCUGAAGGUUCUCAGGUGGCUGAUGCUGCUCUUACAGCACGGAGUUGGAGCCAAAGGCCAGCUAUAAAGCUGUUGUGUUUAAUUUAUUGUAUUUAUUUAUUUGUGAAUGCUGAUUGCCCCACAGCUCGUGCUGCUCAGAGCAGCUACGGCUCAAGAGAAAAAAGUUACACGGGUGAAAAAAGUGUUGGAAAGCUGUAGCCAGUUACAGAGAUGUCCGAAAUCUAAAAAAGGGAGGAGAGAGGACUGGAAAUGACCUUUUCCUGUAGCUGGGAGUGCUCAUAUAUCAUUAAAUAUUUCCAGUGGUGGACACUCGUAGCAGGAAGAGGGUGGGUGGGUUGUUUCAGUGGGCAGCCUGCCCCACUGCUGAAAAUACUGCAGCGUGCAGCAACCUGGCACUGAUGUCCAGCUGAGAACCCUUCAGUGUUACAUCUGCCACGUACGUUCCUCCAGACUGCAUGUAAAGUGUCAUUUAACCUUUGGUUUCUUAACGAACCGUGCUCCUUGGGUGUUUCUCACCAAGAUGUGCUGUCCAGCCCUCGGGGGAGCCUUCCUCCAGCCCUCUCCACGAAGAGGUUGCAGCAUCUCAGCAGCUGUGCGGCACCAGAGGUCACUGAUCACACGCUAAGUGCUGCGGGGUCAGGAACCGACAGAAGGGAGCGGUGCCGUGCUCUGCGAUGAGUCUGCUUCCAGCUGCACCCUGAGACCCAUCGGUUGGCUUGCAGUCCAAUUAAUAUUUGUAAUAUUGACUUCCAUCGUUCCUCUUUCUCAACCAAAACAUUAUGAAAGACGGGAUCGGAUGUCUUACCAACUGCAGGUUUGUCGUAUCAGCACUACUACUUGACAGGCCUGAUAUUAUUGGACUCGAUGAUCUUGAGGUCUCUUCCAACCUAGGAAUUCUGUGAUUCUGUGAUUAAGGAAGGUAUCCUGGUUAACCUGACAAAGCCUAGUUUUCAUAACCAUGCAGGAGUAUCUUCUUGAAAUGCUUUAUUAGCGAGGCCUCUUAUCAGCCCUACGUUAUUUGGCUUGGAAUUGCUAUCAGUACGACAAGGAUACACCGUAUGUACUUAAAUAAAGGCCAUCCUUCCCCCCGCAGGCCUCUGCUUCAUUGAAAGUGUAAUAUUCCCCCCCCCCUCUUGUCUUUUGCAGACGUGUUCUACCUGGCUGGGAAUUAAGGAGCUGGGAUGUGGCAGGAUGGUACCUGAGCUAAUAUUUAAGCUCUCCUGAGAGCGCAGCACUGCCUGACAAAGAGGUCCCUGAUCUGAAUUUGUUUAUGUCUAGCAAAUUACUGAAAACUAUUAAAAACGCCUCCCUAAGGUGCAAGGUUUUCUUCCUUCAGCACUUCAAAUCUCUUUGAUGCCAGAUCUGCCUAUUUAAACAUGACCAGCUUGAAUAUCCUCUGUGAUACGGUUUGAAUGGAAAAUAUUUUGUUGUGUGAGACGUAAACCCACGCUUCUCCCCCCACCAGAAGGUAACUUGUCCAACGAAGAAGAUGGCCUGUUGUGAGCGCUGUAAAGCAGGCGGUACUGAAGUGGAAAAUAGAAAAGUUAGACUGUCAGCAAUUGUUGUAACCUUAGGUUUCCUCCCUGGGUUGUUCUGGGCUGGUAGAUUAUUGUGAAGUGGCUUCAUUUGCCUGCUCAGUACCUGCCUCUGCUAAUGCUUUGAGUAUGUAAGGAUUUGAGUGUGUCAGUUUGUCAGGUCUUUCUCUCUCUCUCUCUCUUUUUUUUUUCUUCAGUUUAGAAGCUCCCAAGAGAUGCAGAUUUUUCUCACCUCACUGCAUUUGGAUUAUUACUUAUCUAUAUUGUGAAUAAAUUAUUUUAAUAUGUUUCUAGGAGGAAAAAAAAAAAAAAAGCAAACAUUUUUCCUCAUCUAUCGCUGCAUACCAAAUAACCAGUUCUUAAGACCCAAGGGGAUUUAAAGCAAAUUUAUUUACCCUCAUUGAAGGAAACGACAUUAAACUUACCACUGGAAAAGUGUUGUAAUUCUCCUUUGCUGUACAUACAUCACCAAACUGCAGACAGGCAGUUAAGGAUGAAUUACACCAAGCUUUCGCUAUAGAUUUGGGAUUUCUUCCCCAUACUGAAAAGUUCUCUAUGCAAAUACAUUCUCCCCUACACUAUCUUUGAAAUGCACUGCUACGCUGAUCCUAAUUUUUUUCAAAGCUAGCAAAGAGAUGUGUGCACAGGUCAUAAAUUAUUAUUAAUACUAACUGGACGAUAACAUCUACUAAGCAGUUUUGAAAAACCAGAGCUUAUUCUGCAUCGGAUUGACCCUGUAGGGCAUUCGCAAAUCAUCUCACUGCAGUGGGUGGGGAGGUUCUUGUCCCCAGUUGUUGCUGGACCUCAGCAACAAGAUUUUACUGCUGAAGUAAAGUGUACUUCAGCAAGUACGUCGCUGGGUUUUUCACCUGCAAGCAAACUGGCAAAUAACAAUGUGAACUCACCCACAGGAGUAAAGUAUAGCAUGCUUCAUUCCUCUGCUGCUUUCCAUUUGAUGAUGCUUUAGACUUUCAGUAAGGUUAUUCACUCACAAAUAUUCUAUUGAGAGAAAAAGAAACAGACAAACAAACAAAAUGGCUUGCCAGAUGUCAUAAAAUACUCUGAGGCUGCACCAGGAGCAUAAACCAUCAUCCUUUGGUUCAAAUAAAAGAAUAUGCUCCGCCUCCCACUUGCUCAAUAAUCCUAACAUUUUUCUGCUUAGGUUGCUGGUGGAUAACAAAGCCACUUUUAUCCUGCUCUGACCUUGCCUGGCAUUCAGAAAAGGCAGGGAGAAAUACAGGAGUCACUUGCACGCGUAAGUCACAGUUGCACCACCGUCCAGUGCUUCAGUUCUCUGAGGUCUCAUCGGAGCACUCUGGUGGGCAUCCUGCUGAUUUGCUGAGUGCCAAUAGUCACACUCAGUGGCUGUCUUAUCAGUUGUCAGCACAAUGCUUUCCGUGAUAAAAUGGAUUUUUUGUAUGCUGAUCAGCUGCUCCUUGAAUUACUGAUGUUUUACAGCAGAUUUUUUUUUUUUUUUUUUACCUAUUUCAAAGAUGGCUGUCAGAAAAGAAAGCUUACAUGCUCAGCCAUGGGAUCUUUCUUUCUGCAGGGGAUAGUUUCUCCAAGCAGUGGAAUCUAUCUACAUAAAAAAAAUCUGUUCCUCAUGUGUCAGGAAUAGCUCCAAGAGGACUUUUCCCAAUGGCAAAUAUUUUGGCCCAUUAAAACUGCAAGAUUGCUUUUUUGACAUUAAAUUU